RNAcentral lists this ribosomal RNA (118 nucleotides) under Klebsiella pneumoniae subsp. pneumoniae DSM 30104 = JCM 1662 = NBRC 14940. Lineage: Bacteria; Pseudomonadati; Pseudomonadota; Gammaproteobacteria; Enterobacterales; Enterobacteriaceae. RNAcentral also lists the same sequence under 1 other name. The record is from RNAcentral.
GCCUGGCGGCACUAGCGCGGUGGUCCCACCUGACCCCAUGCCGAACUCAGAAGUGAAACGCCGUAGCGCCGAUGGUAGUGUGGGGUCUCCCCAUGUGAGAGUAGGGAACUGCCAGGCA